Molecule: ribosomal RNA, 1441 nt
Filed under: uncultured organism
Description: partial small subunit ribosomal RNA
Rfam family: Bacterial small subunit ribosomal RNA
Source: RNAcentral
CGCUGGCGGCGUGCUUAACACAUGCAAGUCGAACGGAAAGGCCCUGCUUUUGUGGGGUGCUCGAGUGGCGAACGGGUGAGUAACACGUGAGUAACCUGCCCUUGACUUUGGGAUAACUUCAGGAAACUGGGGCUAAUACCGGAUAGGAGCUCCUGCUGCAUGGUGGGGGUUGGAAAGUUUCGGCGGUUGGGGAUGGACUCGCGGCUUAUCAGCUUGUUGGUGGGGUAGUGGCUUACCAAGGCUUUGACGGGUAGCCGGCCUGAGAGGGUGACCGGCCACAUUGGGACUGAGAUACGGCCCAGACUCCUACGGGAGGCAGCAGUGGGGAAUAUUGCACAAUGGGCGGAAGCCUGAUGCAGCAACGCCGCGUGCGGGAUGACGGCCUUCGGGUUGUAAACCGCUUUCGCCUGUGACGAAGCGUGAGUGACGGUAAUGGGUAAAGAAGCACCGGCUAACUACGUGCCAGCAGCCGCGGUGAUACGUAGGGUGCGAGCGUUGUCCGGAUUUAUUGGGCGUAAAGGGCUCGUAGGUGGUUGAUCGCGUCGGAAGUGUAAUCUUGGGGCUUAACCCUGAGCGUGCUUUCGAUACGGGUUGACUUGAGGAAGGUAGGGGAGAAUGGAAUUCCUGGUGGAGCGGUGGAAUGCGCAGAUAUCAGGAGGAACACUAGUGGCGAAGGCGGUUCUCUGGGCCUUUCCUGACGCUGAGGAGCGAAAGCGUGGGGAGCGAACAGGCUUAGAUACCCUGGUAGUCCACGCUGUAAACGGUGGGUACUAGGUGUGGGGUCCAUUCCACGGGUUCCGUGCCGUAGCUAACGCUUUAAGUACCCCGCCUGGGGAGUACGGCCGCAAGGCUAAAACUCAAAGGAAUUGACGGGGCCCCGCACAAGCGGCGGAGCAUGCGGAUUAAUUCGAUGCAACGCGUAGAACCUUACCUGGGUUUGACAUGGAUCGGGAGUGCUCAGAGAUGGGUGUGCCUCUUUUGGGGUCGGUUCACAGGUGGUGCAUGGCUGUCGUCAGCUCGUGUCGUGAGAUGUUGGGUUAAGUCCCGCAACGAGCGCAACCCUUGUUCACUGUUGCCAGCACGUUAUGGUGGGGACUCAGUGGAGACCGCCGGGGUCAACUCGGAGGAAGGUGGGGAUGACGUCAAGUCAUCAUGCCCCUUAUGUCCAGGGCUUCACGCAUGCUACAAUGGCUGGUACAGAGAGUGGCGAGCCUGUGAGGGUGAGCGAACCUCGGAAAGCCGGUCUCAGUUCGGAUUGGGGUCUGCAACUCGACCUCAUGAAGUCGGAGUCGCUAGUAAUCGCAGAUCAGCAACGCUGCGGUGAAUACGUUCCCGGGGCUUGUACACACCGCCCGUCAAGUCAUGAAAGUUGGUAACACCCGAAGCCGGUGGCCUAACCGUUGCGGGGGAGCCGUCGAAGGUGGGACUGGUGAUUAGGACU